UUAUUUUUUUUAAGUGAAUAUACAAUUUAUUUAACAUUCAAACUUCAUUAAGACAUGUGCAAUAUGGCAAUUUUACUGGGGGUUUAACCCUACCUAGGAUGAUUGCUUGCUGGGGCUUAGCAACAGGGUCCAGUUCACACUUAGCACUAAAUACUUUAUUGAAUAAAUAUAAUACCAAACAAAACGCAUUCAAAUGCUAAAAAAAAAAAAUCAAUUUUAAAGGCCUUUCUAUUCAGGCUAAUGACAAACACAAUAAAGGCAGAUAUGCUAGUUUAACAUAAUUGGCUGAUUUUAUACAGCACUUAUAUCUUUUAGUCCACAAGUAUAUUAUUAAAUGAUAGAGAACAUCUAAUACAACCAUUUCUACAGAACUAGGAAAUAAAUUUCUAAGAAAGAAAGAUUUUACAGACCCCAUCUUUUAUACCCACCACAACAGUCUAACUCUAAAGAGGAUAAAGCCAAUGACUUUCCUCACAAGAGCUCACGACUAAUGUCACUUUGCUAUCAAAAUCUGUAUUUCUGAUCCGUUAUGAGCAUUGAGACAAGAUUCAAAUAUUCCCAACGAAAGAAGCACAAUGCACGUUGUGAUCACCUAUUCAGCAACAGCGAGCACUGCAUUCAAAACUAUCUCAUCCCAGGAUGAGUGUCAUAUGUGUCAUAUGCCUGGAAAUGCAACUAUAUACAUAUUUUACAUGCUUGCUUUUUUAUUUGUUAAGAGAAGAAAGGAAAAGAUACAUACACUUCUACUGUUUUAUGAAUUACUUGUCUUUAUCACUGCUCUUUGGUCUAUCAUGGGGAUUAGAAUUGUAGUCUGGGUUUGCUUUCUUCAGCCAUAGGACUUCUCUCAGUUUUUCCUGUAGAGCACAUUUCCCAGCAAUAAAUUUUCUUUUGGAGUUAGAGCACACAAGAGUAUAUUUUUCACUCAUAUUUCAAAAAUAGUUUUGCUUGAUAAUGAAUUUUAGGCUGAAAGUUUUGACUCUCAGCACUUUAAAAGGUCAUCCCACUGCCAUGGAGCAUUCCUUAUUUCUUAUGAGAAAUAAGCAUUAUCUUCACACUCACUUGUAAAAAGGAAUUAUUUCUCUUUUAGUUCUUCAAGACUUUUUGCUUUAGCUUUCAACAUUUCACUAGUGUCUGUGUAUGGCUCUCCAAUAUUUAUCCUACUUGAAAUUAGUUGGACAAUUGGGAUGUGUAGUUGGGAUUUUGCAUCAUAAUUGGAAUGUUUUCACACAUUUAAAAUAAAAUAUUUUGCUCUGCACCUUUUCUCUUCUAGCUCUCUCCUCCUGAGUAUGUUACUGUGGUUUAUUAUGUAUCACCACUCUCUAAACUUCUGUUCAUUAUUCUUUUUUUUCUGUCUGUUCAUUUGAUUAUGUUAACUUAUUGAUCUAUAAUAUGUUUAAAUUUCCUGGCUUUUUCAUCAGCUUCUUAAAAUCUACUAUUGACUCCCUCUGGUGAAUUUUUCAUUUCAGAUAUAGUAAUUCUCAACUCCAAACUUUCCAUUUGUUACUUUUGUAAAAUAUUAUUUCUAUCUUUUAUUUAUAGGCUCUAUUAAAUUGAAUAUUAUUAUAAUACAUUGUCAUUAUACUUUUCUUCUUUAAGCAUAGUUGCCUGAAGAUAGGUUUCAUGCUUACAAGAAUUUAUCCAUUACUUCUAAGUUCUCCAGUUUGUAGGAAUAUCACAAUAGUAACCUAUGGUCUAUUAUAUUCUUUAUUUUAGUUUCUAAUUUUAUUUAUUUGUAUUCUUUGUCUUUUAGCUAGACCUCAGGAAGGCUCUCCUUAGCUGUUUCUUUGGUUUUCUCUGAUAAACUAGCUUGCCAGUGGUUUAGCUUGUAUCUGUCAUGAAGCAAUCAGCUUCCUCUUAACUGCUUACCAACGUAUCUUUCAUAGUUUGUGAGUAAUUAUAGGCUUGAACUUCCCACAGUUUGAUAAAAAAAUAAAGUGAGUGCUUUGAAAAUGGCUUUUAUGUCCUAGGGCUUACUUAAUACCUCAAUUAGUAAAGAAUCCACCUGCAAUGCUGGAGACUCCAGUUCGAUUCCUGGGUCGGGAAGAUCCCCUGGAGAAGGGAACAGCUACCCAUUCCAGUGUUCUUGUGCUUCCCUUGUGGUUCAGGUGGUAAAGAAUCCGUCUUCAAUGUG
This is a long non-coding RNA of Bos taurus (domestic cattle), 2131 nucleotides long. The record is from Ensembl. NCBI's taxonomy places the organism in Eukaryota, Metazoa, Chordata, Mammalia, Artiodactyla, Bovidae.